AAGGUCCAUGGCCGAGAGGGAAAUAACCCAGAUUAGCAACUAAGGUCCCUAAUACAUGGUUAAGUUGAUCAAACGAGGUGGAGUUUCUAUAACAGCCAGGAUGUUGGCUUGGAAGCAGCCACUCAUUUAAAGAGUGCGUAACAGCUCACUGGUCGAGAGACUCUGCACGGAAAAUAAUCGGGCAUCAAACCAUGAACCGAAGUUCUAAGAUUGCCACUAGGUGGUAUAUCGGUAGGGGAGCAUUGAAAUCUGCUGCGAAGGUGUGUGGCGAUGCAUGCUGGAGCGAUUUCAAAAGAAAAUGUAGGCAUAAGUAACGAUAAUUAAAGUGAAAAACUUUAACGCCGUAAACCCAAGGUUUCCUGAUCAAUGUUAAUCAGAUCAGGGUUAGUCGGGUCCUUAGGCAAACCCGAAAGGGGUAGCUGAUGGCAAGUUGGUUAAUAUUCCAACACCUGCUUUAGAUUCGAUGGGGUGACGGGGUAGUGAAAGGUCCGCGUUCUUACGGAAUAGAACGUUAAAGGGUGUAGAUAUUAGUUGUGUAGGCAAAUCCGCACGAUUAGUCGAACCUGAUAGUACAGCAAAGCUUCGGCCGCGCUGAUAGUGACCCUAAUCAGACCUCCGAGAAAAACCUCUAAGUUAUGUUUAAAGCAGCCCGUACCGCAAACCGACACAGGUGGGUGGGAUGAAUAUUCUAAGGCGCUCGGGUGAGCCGUGGAGAAGGAACUAGGCAAAUUGACGCUGUAACUUCGGGAUAAAGCGUACCGUCUUCGGACGGUCUCAGUAAAAUGGUUCAACCAACUGUUUAGCAAAAACACAGGGCCCUGCAAAAUCGUAAGAUGACGUAUAGAGCCUGAUACCUGCCCGGUGCUGGAAGGUUAAGGAAGGAUGUUCGGCGCAAGCCAAAGCUUCUGACUGAAGCCCCAGUAAACGGCGGCCGUAACUAUAACGGUCCUAAGGUAGCGAAAUUCCUUGUCGGGUAAGUUCCGACCUGCACGAAUGGUCUAAUGAGUUGAACACUGUCUCCUCCACGAGCCCGGUGAAAUUGUAGUAUCGGUGAAGAUGCCGGUUACCCGUCACGGGACGGAAAGACCCCAUGAACCUUCACUACAACUUUGCAUUGAUUUUGAAUUUUUGAUGUGUAGGAUAGUUGGGAGACUUUGAAGCUGUGUCGCUAGGCAUGGUGGAGUCGUCGUUGAAAUACCAACCUUUAAACAUUUAGAAUCUAAUCCCUAACGGGAAACAGUGCAUGGUGGGUAGUUUGACUGGGGUGGUCGCCUCCUAAAGUGUAACGGAGGCUUGCAAAGGUUCCCUCAGUACGGUUGGUAAUCGUACAUAGAGCGUAUUAGUAUAAGGGAGCUUGACUGUGAGACUUACAAGUCGAGCAGGGACGAAAGUCGGCUAAAGUGAUCCGGCGGUUCUGUAUGGAAGGGCCGUCGCUCAAAGGAUAAAAG
This 1448-nucleotide ribosomal RNA is filed under the name activated sludge metagenome. RNAcentral describes it as "bacterial LSU rRNA". It matches the Rfam family "Bacterial large subunit ribosomal RNA", at positions 1000 to 2462 of the family's 2925-position model. The record is from RNAcentral.